CCUAUCCACCCAUUAGUUCUUUCCAAAGGAAAGCCAAUCGAGCUGUCUCAUAUAGAUUUAGAGGGUCUUCAAAAGACUUGUCCUUCCUUAGAGGAAUCUCGGAAGUUAGCUUUAAAUGGCAAGGUGACCCAGAGAAAGAAAUUUUCUUACAAGUUUGAGUUCAAACACGAUCUUUUGUACAAGACUAUAGUGUCUGCGGACAAACCCAAUGACGUUGGUCGAAGCCUGUUAGUCAUUCCGCAGGAUUGCCGUGAAACCAUUUUAAAGAUUUCUCAUGACUUGCCAGUCUCUGGCCAUUUUUCACAUAGGAAGACCUAUAAUAAAAUCAAGAACCUAUAUUUCUGGCCUAGCAUGCCCGCUGACAUCUAUAAGUACUGCAGAUCAUGUCACGUAUGUCAACUUUCCACGCAGAAGGGUAGAACUAGGAGAGUUCCUAUGGUAAAGAUGCCAAUUUUCUCAGUACCUUUUGCAAGGGUUGCAGUAGAUAUAGUUGACCCUAUCACUCCUCGUUCAUCAGGUCAUAAAUAUAUUUUAACUUCGACUAUGCGUCCAGCUGCCCAAAGAAGAAAGAUAUUCCACUGUGGAUAAAGAAUGUUAUGCAUUAACAGACACUUAAAAGGGGCUCUGGCUAUUCAGCCCUAUAAGCCUAAAAUCGUUCAUAUUUCUGGCUCUGAAAACCACUUCUCAGAUUGGCUGAGCCGAGGUUGUACAUAGUUCUUUUCCCUCUGUUCGUUGACUUAUUGACUCCGUCCAUAAGUUUUGGAAGGGGGUAUUGUGAGGGAAAAGUAGGCGUAAGUGGGGUUAAGGUUGUUCGGGCAUCCAGGAACCAUUAGUUACGUCGCGUGCACCCCCCCUCCUCUCUGGCGGGCUGGGGCGAAACUAGUUCCUGGUGUCCGAUUUGUUAGUUUCUACUCCUGGUAAUAUUGACCUUACCUGGUGUGGGUUGAAGUUUGGAGAGUCACUUCACCUCCACUCUUCUCCUAAUCAGCUCUGUUCCUGGCGUGGUCUUCCAGGAUAGACGCCAGAUAAAGGAGCAAGACAUGUUAAUAAUACUUAUUAACAUUAUUCUACUACUACCGGCCCUUACCUAUUCUACUUGUGCUCCAUCCAAGUGGUAGGAGAUUCCAGAACAUCGGAUUACCAUCUGCCCAGGAUAACCUACAUAAAUAACAUCAGAGGAACUAUCCAGGGCCAUACCUACUCCUACCCAACUACAAGAACUGAAGGCCAUUUUUUUUUAUUAUAUUUAAAUUUUAAGUAAAAUUCUCAAAAAUCAU
This is a non-coding RNA of Cherax quadricarinatus, 1277 nucleotides long. NCBI's taxonomy places the organism in Eukaryota, Metazoa, Arthropoda, Malacostraca, Decapoda, Parastacidae. The record is from RefSeq and is a predicted model, not a curated record.